RNAcentral lists this ribosomal RNA (30 nucleotides) under Thrips palmi. RNAcentral's name for it is "partial 28S ribosomal RNA". The record is from RNAcentral. Lineage: Eukaryota; Metazoa; Arthropoda; Insecta; Thysanoptera; Thripidae.
CUCUUUCAUUCCGACCUCUGUUCAGGUGAG